This 138-nucleotide ribosomal RNA is filed under the name uncultured bacterium. RNAcentral's name for it is "partial 16S ribosomal RNA". It matches the Rfam family "Bacterial small subunit ribosomal RNA", at positions 372 to 526 of the family's 1533-position model. The record is from RNAcentral.
UGGGCGAAAGCCUGAUCCAGCAAUGCCGCGUGAGUGAUGAAGGCCUUAGGGUUGUAAAGCUCUUUUACCAGGGAUGAUAAUGACAGUACCUGGAGAAUAAGCUCCGGCUAACUCCGUGCCAGCAGCCGCGGUAAUAAU